UGAGGAAUAUUGGUCAAUGGGGGCAAGCCUGAACCAGCCAUCCCGCGUGCAGGAAGACGGCGCUAUGCGUUGUAAACUGCUUUUCCAGGGAGAGAAACUUGCGCACGUGUUGCGCAAUUGACGGUACCCUGGGAAUAAGCAUCGGCUAACUCCGUGCCAGCAGCCGCGGUAAUACGGAGGAUACGAGCGUUGUCCGGAUUCAUUGGGUUUAAAGGGUGCGUAGGCGGACUAUUAAGUCAGUGGUGAAAUCCUGCAGCUUAACUGCAGAACUGCCAUUGAUACUGAUAGCCUUGAGUUUGGUUAAGGUAGGCGGAAUGUGUAAUGUAGCGGUGAAAUGCUUAGAUAUUACACAGAACACCAAUUGCGUAGGCAGCUUACUGAGCCGACACUGACGCUGAGGCACGAAAGCGUGGGGAUCGAACAG
Molecule: ribosomal RNA, 424 nt
Filed under: uncultured bacterium
Lineage: Bacteria
Description: bacterial SSU rRNA
Rfam family: Bacterial small subunit ribosomal RNA
Source: RNAcentral